CAGUCGCCGCGGUAAUACGAAGGGGGCUAGCGUUGCUCGGAAUGACUGGGCGUAAAGGGCGCGUAGGCGGUUUGCACAGUCAGGUGUGAAAUUCCUGGGCUUAACCUGGGGGCUGCGUUUGAUACGUGCGGACUUGAGUGGGGAAGAGGGUCGUGGAAUUCCCAGUGUAGAGGUGAAAUUCGUAGAUAUUGGGAAGAACACCGGUGGCGAAGGCGGCGACCUGGUCCUUGACUGACGCUGAGGCGCGAAAGCGUGGGGAGCAAACAGGAUUAGAUACCCCCGUAGUCCCUGUCUCUUAUAC
Molecule: ribosomal RNA, 301 nt
Filed under: uncultured bacterium
Lineage: Bacteria
Description: partial 16S ribosomal RNA
Rfam family: Bacterial small subunit ribosomal RNA
Source: RNAcentral